ACUCCUACGGGAGGCAGCAGUGGGGAAUAUUGCACAAUGGGCGCAAGCCUGAUGCAGCCAUGCCGCGUGUAUGAAGAAGGCCUUCGGGUUGUAAAGUACUUUCAGCAGUGAGGAAGGCGGGUACGUUAAUAGCGUGCUUGUUUGACGUUAGCUGCAGAAGAAGCACCGGCUAACUCCGUGCCAGCAGCCGCGGUAAUACGGAGGGUGCGAGCGUUAAUCGGAAUUACUGGGCGUAAAGCGCAUGCAGGUGGUUUGUUAAGUCAGAUGUGAAAGCCCGGGGCUCAACCUCGGAAUUGCAUUUGAAACUGGCAGACUAGAGUACUGUAGAGGGGGGUAGAAUUUCAGGUGUAGCGGUGAAAUGCGUAGAGAUCUGAAGGAAUACCGGUGGCGAAGGCGGCCCCCUGGACAGAUACUGACACUCAGAUGCGAAAAGCGU
This 436-nucleotide ribosomal RNA is filed under the name uncultured bacterium. RNAcentral's name for it is "bacterial SSU rRNA". It matches the Rfam family "Bacterial small subunit ribosomal RNA", at positions 335 to 762 of the family's 1533-position model. The record is from RNAcentral.